GCCUGGCAGGCUUAGUCGGUAGAGUAUGUGACUCUUAAUCUCGGGGUUGUGGGUUUGAGUCUCACAUUGGGUG
This 73-nucleotide transfer RNA is filed under the name Canis lupus familiaris (dog). It matches the Rfam family "tRNA". Rfam says of the family: Transfer RNA (tRNA) molecules are approximately 80 nucleotides in length. The record is from Rfam by way of RNAcentral. Lineage: Eukaryota; Metazoa; Chordata; Mammalia; Carnivora; Canidae. RNAcentral also lists the same sequence under 1 other name.